This 1679-nucleotide long non-coding RNA is filed under the name Elaeis guineensis (African oil palm). RNAcentral describes it as "long non-coding RNA (EGUI_LNC003669)". The record is from RNAcentral. Lineage: Eukaryota; Viridiplantae; Streptophyta; Magnoliopsida; Arecales; Arecaceae.
UUGUCUCUCUGAGCUUGCCUCUUCAGACACAAGCAAAUUAUCACUACUCUCCUCCCCCAUCACCAACACCAUCCAAGGAACACCCUUACCCAUACAAGUCUCCACCACCACCACCUCCUCAUGUUUACUACUAUAAAUCACCACCACCACCACCACCACCUCAUCAUGUCUACAAGUAUAAGUCACCACCACCACCUCCUUACCACUAUGUAUCACCACCUCCACCUCACCAUGCCUACAAGUAUAAGUCUCCUCCACCACCUCCUUACCACUAUGUAUCACCACCUCCUCCUCAUCAUGCCUACAAGUAUAAAUCUCCACCACCACCCCCUUACCACUAUGUAUCACCACCCCCACCUCAUCAUGUCUACAAGUAUAAAUCUCCACCACCCCCUCAUUACCACCCUGCUCCUGGUUACAAAUACAAGUCACCACCUCCCCCUCAUCAUGUUUACAAGUAUAAAUCCCCACCACCCCCUCGUUACCACCCUGCUCCUGGCUACAAAUACAAGUCACCACCUCCCCCUCAUCAUGCUUACAAGUAUAAAUCCCCACCACCGCCUCAUUACCACCCUGCUCCUGGUUACAAAUACAAGUCACCACCGCCCCCUCAUCAUGUUUACAAGUAUAAAUCUCCACCACCCCCUCAUUACCACCCUGCUCCUGGUUACAAAUACAAGUCACCACCGCCCCCUCAUCAUGUUUACAAGUAUAAGUCUCCACCACCCCCUCCUUACCACUACAAAUCACCACCUCCUCCUCAUCAUGUCUACAAGUACAAAUCUCCACCACCCCCCACCAUCAAAAGCCACCUUGUCCUCCCCCAUCUGUCUAUAAAUAUAAAUCACCACCACCCCCUCCCUACCAUUACAAAUCACCACCCCCACCCCCUCCUGUAUACAAGUAUAAAUCACCACCGCCACCUCCCUACCACUACAAGUCACCACCACCUCCCCAUCCAGUCUACAAGUACAAGUCUCCUCCUCCUCCUCCUCACUAUUAAGCGGCACAACAGCGCCAGCAAAGAGGGUUAGUUAAUUACUUGCAUUUUCUGAGCUAAGAAUAUAGUUAAAAAAAAGUUACUUGAGUAAUAUAUGGAAGUUUCUUGUUCCUUGUGUUUUUUUUUUUCCCCACAUGGGCAAUUUUCCAACAAUGCCACUGGAGUACUACCCCAUUUUUUUAUUUAUUUGGCAGGGAAAAUGAAGACUUCUCCAGAUGGUUGCCAUAUGUAUAUGAACCAGCAUCAAGUGCUGGUUUUGCUAGGGUUAUGAAGAGUAGAAUAAAGCAAUCGAGGUUCCUUCAACAGAAGAAGUGGCCCAAUGUUUCUAGGGGUGAUGUUUCUAUGGAGUGAAUAAAGUUGCUUUCUAUCGUGUAAUGUGGAAGCAUCUGCUUGUUAGCUGGAAAAAGUGGAAAGAGGAGAUAAGCAUAUGUACUCGCUCUUUUCUUCUUUGGAACUGUAUUUUUAUUUGUAUCUUGUCAGAUUGAUCUAUGUAUUUUCUUCAACCCGUCCACUUUGUCAAGUUGCACCCCAAGAGUUAUUACAAUGAUAACUGUACUGGCAAGAAGCAUGUCCAGUUGUUAAUUACAUUUUGCAUUACAAAUUUACAGGCAUGAAGUGAUUAAAAAAUGGUCAUGCAGAGUGAAACGCUCUUAUAUUUAAGGAGUAAUUUGCAACUGAG